Long non-coding RNA from Hyaena hyaena (striped hyena), 212 nucleotides. RefSeq lists it as uncharacterized. The record is from RefSeq and is a predicted model, not a curated record. The transcript has 2 exons. NCBI's taxonomy places the organism in Eukaryota, Metazoa, Chordata, Mammalia, Carnivora, Hyaenidae.
CAGCUCGGCGGCCGGUAGCUCGGCCAGCACGCGCAGCAGCAGCGGCUCGGGCAGCCCGUCCAGCAUCUCUUUGAGGUUGCUCCUAUUGCUGUUGCCAUGUCAUUGAUAAAGAAACUGAGGCACAGUGAGGUGAAACCACAGGGUCACAGCAAAUGAGUGGUUGAAGCCUGGCUUCAAAUCCAGGCUCAAAAAAUAAAAUAAAAAGCCCUCAA